UACGGAGGGGGCUAGCGUUGUUCGGAAUUACUGGGCGUAAAGCGCACGUAGGCGGCUUUGUAAGUUAGAGGUGAAAGCCCGGGGCUCAACUCCGGAAUUGCCUUUAAGACUGCAUCGCUAGAAUUGUGGAGAGGUAAGUGGAAUUCCGAGUGUAGAGGUGAAAUUCGUAGAUAUUCGGAAGAACACCAGUGGCGAAAGCGGCUCACUGGCCCGAUACUGACGCUGAGGCACGAAAGCGUGGGGAGCAAACAGG
This 253-nucleotide ribosomal RNA is filed under the name uncultured bacterium. Its description in RNAcentral is "partial 16S ribosomal RNA". It matches the Rfam family "Bacterial small subunit ribosomal RNA", at positions 524 to 776 of the family's 1533-position model. The record is from RNAcentral.